AUAUCUGUCUGGACAUCCCUACAUCUACGGGAAAGGCUCUAGCAAGUCUUAUUCAUUCUUCAAGAGAGAGCAUGUUCUCAGCUACCCUAUCUUAGCCUGCUGGAGUUCAGUAGACUACGGACGUGACUACAGGCAGAUGGUGCAUAAAAUUCACGAACAAGAGAAAAAAAGCCUUUGAAAGCAUUCAUCUGAAGUUUGACGUGAAAAGUACACAAGACUACAAAAACAGCAGUAACUGGUCAGACUAAAGGUAUGGCUGUCCCAGUAUCCUGUAUCCAGAAAUGGCUUGGGGAUGUCUAUGGAAAAAGUAUAAGAGGUAGCACAAACAUUAAAAUAUUUUUUUCCCUCCCCCCAGCUUCCUGAAAUCAACUAACCAGGCCCAAGCACUCUAGGAUCAAAGACUUAUCAUUCAGAUGAGGAACUUUUUGACAUCCCCUUAGAAGAAAUAGAAAAGUUGCCCAGCCUGGUGUGUGAAGACCUGAAGUUCCUCUUCUUUGUGACCAAAUUCACUGCAGCAGAAAUAUCCUCACAUCAGCUGUUUCCUGAUGCCAACAAAUGAUUCAGAUGGCACAUUCAACCUGCCUGCCAGGAACAGCCAGGGGAAAAACAGCAAAUACAUAAUGCUCUCCGGGGACCUGACCCUCAUCUUUUCCAGAGGAUUAAUACACAAGAAAAUACACAAGCACUGGUCAGAUUUUGGCCCCCAGUUU
Long non-coding RNA from Dromaius novaehollandiae (emu), 710 nucleotides. NCBI's taxonomy places the organism in Eukaryota, Metazoa, Chordata, Aves, Casuariiformes, Dromaiidae. The record is from Ensembl.